RNAcentral lists this long non-coding RNA (1641 nucleotides) under Vulpes vulpes (red fox). Its description in RNAcentral is "lncRNA (ENSVVUG00000028645.1)". Lineage: Eukaryota; Metazoa; Chordata; Mammalia; Carnivora; Canidae. The record is from RNAcentral.
GUUAACCUAGAGCCACUUGGGCUGGUGGGGAGGCAGGACCCUGAGGGAGCCACCUUGGGCUGGAUCUCCUCUCCCAGAGCUUCGUGGAAGACCUUGGGCAGACCAAGGCCCGUCUGGAUUCAGCUUUUGUGCCUGUGAGGGGCCAGCUGGGCUGGGACUCCCUGUGUGAGGCACUGACUUGCCCUGGUGCUGUCAGAGCUGGGGACAAAUGCAGCCCUUUUACCAAUGCUAACCAACCUUCAGGAAGAGCAGGCCAAGGCAGCCUCGAGGGAGCCAGGAGGCUCUUUCCUGCUUCUCCAGAGUCAGGGGGCAUCUCUUACCUGCCUGAGGGCUGCUUUCUCCUCUACUCUCCACCCACCCCAGGUACACCUGGGGGUUGCACAGCGUCCCUGAUGCUCCAGCGUCUUCUCAGAACUCUUGUUCCUAUGCCACACUCUCCACAGAAGGGUCUGGAAAUCUACAUUGUAACAAGCCUGUUUGAGGCUAACAGACCAGGAAGGUGCAUUAUAGUAAUCCUCGCUGAGCGGAUUCCGGGCCAUGUGCUUCUCUUUUUCGGGACCAGUGACUAUAACACUAUAACGGUGACGGUGACUCCCAGACUGCCACUCCCUGUGGUCAGGAGCGACUUGGAUGGUCUCUAAACUUCAGGAUCUGCCCAGUUUGGAGCACAGUUAAGUAGGCUCUGGGUUCCACUCGGGGCUCCUACGGUGGGUGGAGACAUGUAAGAUAGAGGUGGGUGGCGGGGGCCAGGGGAUUUCUCCCAACAAUCCGUUCUCAUCUGACCCUAUGCCUGGACAUUUGGCUCCUGGAAUGGUGGGGCUGGGUGAUCCCAGGUUGUGUAGCGCCCCCAUCUGCUCUCACUCAGGCCCAGCUUCCUCCGCCCACCCCCUCCGGCCACAUCCCAAAUCCCCAAUCCCAGCAGCAGAUCUCGGUGUUUGCCUGUUACCAUGGCAAUGGGAUGCACCUUUCUGUUACCAUGGCAACCAGCCAGGGGUUUUUAAAAUUCAGUUGAGGUAAUUUCCACCCCUCAAUCCUCAUCCUCAGACACCUCAUUCUUCUUUUUUUCUUCUCUGAAUCUUAGAAGGUCGGGUUGAGGCGGGGGUGGGGGGUGCUACAGCCACCAGCCAGAGGUGGAGGGUCAGAGGGGCUGGUGGGAAGACUCAGGCCUCUUUCCUCCCCAACUACUCCACCCAGACUAGACCCUAGAGAAUAGGACAGCCUCUUCCCCCAUUCCCUCUCCAGGCCCAGAUCUGCAGUGAGAAGAAGGCUUUGCCUGGCUGGGCAGGCAAAGGGCAGCAGACCUGGGAGGCCUGGGUGAGGGUGCAGCCUGUGUGGCCACUUGUCUAUGUAGGAGCAGUUAAGGGUCAGCAGAGACCCUCCCGGACCUAUGUCACUAAGGAUCUCAAGGCUCCAGGGCCCAGACCCCAGGACAAUAGGGGACAGAUGUUGUUUAUGCCCUAUGCUGGUGCUAAGGAGCUUAGCAGAGGGCAUCAAAGAAAGAUAGAGAGAAGGGGAUGCAGAUACUGUCCACUACCUGUCCCUCCCCCUCCCUACUAAGGAACUCUCUCCCUAAACACCUGCUUCAUUAGUCUGGUCAUUGUAAAUUCAUGAGGCCCAACAUCCCCUCCAUGCCCCCCUCCU